Non-coding RNA from Beta vulgaris subsp. vulgaris (sugar beet), 69 nucleotides. The record is from Rfam. NCBI's taxonomy places the organism in Eukaryota, Viridiplantae, Streptophyta, Magnoliopsida, Caryophyllales, Amaranthaceae.
AACCUAUUAGCUCAAAUGGUAGAGCAUUGUGCCAUGCACAAGAUGUGGGUUCGAUUCCCACAUAGGUUA